This is a long non-coding RNA of Homo sapiens (human), 541 nucleotides long. RefSeq lists it as uncharacterized. The transcript has 3 exons. NCBI's taxonomy places the organism in Eukaryota, Metazoa, Chordata, Mammalia, Primates, Hominidae. The record is from RefSeq and is a predicted model, not a curated record.
CAGCACCAAAGAAUGUGACUACAUUGGGAGAUAGCUUCAUCAAAGAGCAGGGUGAAAACAAACUAAUACACCACCCUCCACUGUUUGAAGCAAAACUGCUGGCUCUAUGGGGUCUUCAAUUCACUAAAUAUUUCCUAAAUGCCUGGUUUAUUUCACUGACAAGUCAAGGAAGUUGCCACCUUUUGGUGCUCACUGGGCUGCUGUGGAUGUCUAACCUCAUUGCCAGCCACACAGAACCUGAAGCAGGGAUCGUUGCACCACUUAAUGUGAGACGCAGAGAAGAGUUGGGGAAUCCUGUUGGACCAGGAGGAGGAAUAAUAUUAGUUGGACCAAAUGGUAGAACAGGACCUGUGUGCUCAACCUUUCUUGGGAAUUCCAUUCCUCUUUGAGGCAGGCAUGGAAUCCCAGUGAACAUCCUGCACUCUCAGUGUCCAGCUGUCUGAGGCAACAGUUGUUUCUGAUGAUAGAGAACAAUUGCUUUUUUUUCUGAGAAGACUUCCAUGGCUGAGGUAAGCUGGAUUCUAUAGAACAUUGAUUCCAU